This 443-nucleotide ribosomal RNA is filed under the name uncultured bacterium. RNAcentral describes it as "partial 16S ribosomal RNA". It matches the Rfam family "Bacterial small subunit ribosomal RNA", at positions 338 to 795 of the family's 1533-position model. The record is from RNAcentral.
GCUACGGGUGGCAGCAGUGGGGAAUAUUGCACAAUGGGCGAAAGCCUGAUGCAGCAACGCCGCGUGAAGGAAGACGGUUUUCGGAUUGUAAACUUCUAUCAAUAGGGAAGAAAGAAAUGACGGUACCUAAAUAAGAAGCCCCGGCUAACUACGUGCCCGUAGCCGCGGUAAUAAGUAGGGGGCAAGCGUUAUCCGGAAUUAGUGGGGGUAAAGGGAGAGUAGGCGGCAAGGUAAGCGAUAUGUGAAAGCCUUAAGCUUAACUUAAGGAUUGCAUAACGAACUAUCUAGCUAGAGUACAGGAGAGGAAAGCGGAAUUCCUAGUGUAGCGGUGAAAUGCGUAGAUAUUAGGAAGAACACCAGUGGCGAAGGCGGCUUUCUGGACUGAAACUGACGCUGAGGCUCGAAAGCGUGGGGAGCGAACAGGAUUAGAUACCCCAGUAGUC